Carassius gibelio (silver crucian carp) is the source of this 3132-nucleotide long non-coding RNA. RefSeq lists it as uncharacterized. The record is from RefSeq and is a predicted model, not a curated record. The transcript has 5 exons. NCBI's taxonomy places the organism in Eukaryota, Metazoa, Chordata, Actinopteri, Cypriniformes, Cyprinidae.
GCCGCCAUUUUUAAUCUGGCCCGCUAGUUUUCGGCUAAUAUCUCCGUGAAAACAGCACCUAAACACAUAAACAAUGUAGCGUUCUUUUCAGCUAGAUUAUUCGUUUACAAAGAGCUAAACAAACAACGGAUACGACGGAUUUCGCCGCGGGUUAUCGUCGCGUCCAGGCCGAGCCAGAGGCCUGCUUUCAACGCCUAACACAAAGGAUUGUUUGUUUAGGGAGAAGCAGGAAGUACACCCUCUGGCCUCACUGCAGAAAGGCGUGAGAUCUCUUCCUGGGCAUCUGAGAACGUGAAAGAAAACAGAAAGCAUAUGCAGAGAUUGGACUUGAUUUUUAGACAAGAAAAAAAUAUACCUUAAAUGUCUUUAACACACACAAACACACACAUUUGUUUUUGUGAAAAGUGGGUUCAUCCCAUAGGCGUAAUGGGUUUUAUACUGUACAAACUGUAUAUUCUAUGGCCCUACACCAAACAUGAUGAUGACAGGUAGCCAAAGAGAAUCAGCCUGAUGAGAUAUGCAUAUAUAGAGAGACAUAUAUAGACGUGCAAUAUUUAUUAUUUGUGCUGAUGUCAUUGCCAUUUAGCUCAAAAUAAGCACUUUAAUUUAAUAGUUUUAGAGUGUGUGUGUACACUCAGCCCGACCGACCCAGCCCUUAGAGCCAAUCCUUAUCCCGAAGUUACGGAUCUGACUUGCCGACUUUCCUUACGCAGCCUUGUUCUAACACGCCAGAGGCUGUUCACCUUGGAGACCUGCUGGGGAUAUGGUUACGGCCCGGCGCGAGACUUGCACCUUCUUCCCCGGAUUUUCAAGGGCUGACGAGAGCUCACCGGACGCCACCGGAACAGCGGCGCUUUCCAGGGCGUGGGCCCCUCUCUCGGGACGAACCCAUUCCAGGGUGCCCGGCCCUUCACAAAGAAAAGAGAACUCUUCCCGGGGCCCCCGCCAGCUUCUCCGGGUUCGUUUGCAUUACCCAAGGGGCAAGGAACUCGACCGGAAGUUGAAGUCUGGUGGGGGCUGCCAUCUUUUAGCAGAACUUCACUUGCGUUAGCAUUCCCAUUGACUCCCAUUCAUUUUGGCGUCACUUUGACAGCGAAUAACUUUACAUCUGAGGUGUUUAAAGACUCUGUUUGUCCAUUAUUUAUUUCUAAAGAUACACGACAAUGUAUAAAGGGCUCCAUUACCUUCUAUGUUACAUUAUGGCCCCGUAUAAACAGUUUUUGUAAAAAAUAGGCUAACGAUUGCGUCAUAACCACUCGGCUCUCUGUCGCAUUACCGUACAGACAGGUGGAGAAGCUCGCAGGCAAUUAACUUAAUAUGGCGUACUGGCGUUACAUUUUAAAAUACUAUACAAAAUAAUUAAUCAGAAUACUUACUCCUGCUCACUCACGACAAAGAACUCCCCGCUCAAGCUCGCCGUCUCUGCAAGAUUAACGAUGGCAGUUUGCACACACAGCUACUAGAAGAUUUACAUCUGUCAGACAGGUUGCUGACGUCGUCAAGCUUCGUUUGAGUCUGCGCGUCAGAAACGGAAGUGCUAAAAAACGCUAAAACUGGGCUUCAUUUGUCUCAAUUGAGUUCCAAUGGGGUCGCUGUGUCCAUUUCUUUUACUGUCUAUGGCAUUACCGCACUGGGCGCCUCGCGGCGCCCGUCUCCACCACUCCGGGCUCUGGGAUCUGAACCAGACUCCCUUUCGAUCGGCCGGCCCUUCCGAACGGCGUUCGCCCAUCCCUUAGGAACGACUGACCCAUGUUCAACUGCUGUUGACAUGGAACCCUUCUCCACUUCGGCCUUCAAAGCUCUCGUUUGAAUAUUUGCUACUACCACCAAGAUCUGCACCCGCAACGGCUCCACCCGGGCCCACGCCCUGGGCUUCCGCGCCACCGCGGCGGCCCUCCUACUCGUCGAGGCGUAUCCCUUGAUACAUUUGCUUGCCGUCGACGGCCGGGUAUGGGCCCGACGCUCCAGCGCCAUCCAUUUUCAGGGCUAGUUGAUUCGGCAGGUGAGUUGUUACACACUCCUUAGCGGAUUCCGACUUCCAUGGCCACCGUGCUGCUGUCUAUAUCAACCAACACCUUUUCUGGGGUCUGAUGAGCGUCGGCAUCGGGCGCUUUAACCCAGCGUUCGGUUCAUCCCGCAGCGCCAGUUCUGCUUACCAAAAGUGGCCCACUAGGCGUCUCGCAUUCCACGCCCAGGCUCCAAGCCAGCGAGCCGGGCUUCUUACCCAUUUAAAGUUUGAGAAUAGGUUGAGAUCGUUUCGGCCCCAAGGCCUCUAGUCAUUCACUUUACCGGAUAAAACUGCUUGUUCGAGCGAGCGCCAGCUAUCCUGAGGGAAACUUCGGAGGGAACCAGCUACUAGAUGGUUCGAUUAGUCUUUCGCCCCUAUACCCAGGUCGGACGACCGAUUUGCACGUCAGGACCGCUGCGGGCCUCCACCAGGGUUUCCCCUGGCUUCGCCCUGCCCAGGCAUAGUUAAAUUUUAUACUGGGGCUAAUAGUUUGUAAAACAUGUUUGUGAUUGUUUUUUUUGCAAAGUAUGUACAUUAACCUUUUUUUGUAUAUUUGUCAUUUAUAAUCUUUAACAGCAGGAAGUACACCCUCUGGCCUAACUGCAGAAAGGCGUGAGAUCUCUUCCUGGGCAUCUGAGAACUGGAAAUGAUUAGGAUGGGCUUGGUUGUGAGGAACCUACCUCCAUUUCUUCCUGAAGUCUGUUCCUCAGAGCUCCUCGAGAUGCUGACAGCAAGUCACAUUUUGAGCCAGAAACGGAGCCUGCAUCUGGAAAGUGGUCUGAAUCUUUAACAGCAGGAAGUACACCCUCUGGCCUCACUGCAGGAAGGCGUGAGAUCUCUUCAGGCCUGUAUGCUGGGGUCACAGGUCAGACCUCUUAAAGGAUGCAGAGUGGCUGAGCACCAGUGACAGAGUGGGUGACAGAGCAGUGGCCGGCGUACAAAGGGAUAUACAAACUGAUGACUGCCAACUAACAUUGAUUUACAUUUAAUAACUCUUUGGUCUUUUUUCAUAGUACUUGGAGCUGUAUUUCUCAACAAUCAGGCCUGAGAUAAGUGCCUAUACAGAUUCAUGUGCAUGUGUACCAUAUAUCUGUUAAAUAAAGAAAUAAAAAAAACCUUUAGGA